CUCUUGUCGCUGGUGCGUUCUACCUGCAUCUUUGCUCCAGCUCAGCUGGCUCCUCUAGGCCUGUGGCUGCCCACCGCAGUGGGCUCUGGGCUGGACUCUGGACCAUGCGUUGCUGGGUUUGCUGCUGUGAUGAUGGAGGUGCUGCUUUUGUCUGUCUGAUGUUUAUACUUUGUGGGUGUGGAGUGUGCCAGGAACAUCUCAUAUGUGCCAGGAACUGGCUCUUUGGAAAAGUCAGUCCAGGUUAGAAACAUAGACUGUGGCCGGGCACAGUGGCUCACGCCUGUAAUCCCAGCACUUUGGGAAGCCAAGGUGGGCAGAUCACUUGACUUGAGGUCAGGAGUUCGAGACCAGCCUGGCCAACAUUGCGAAACCCCGUCUCUACUAAAAAUACAAAAAUUAGCUGGGCGUGGUGGUGCAUGCCUGUAGUCCCAGCUAUCCAGCAGACUGAGGCACAGGAAUCGCUUGAACCCUGGAGACAGAGGUUGCAGUGAGCCAAGAUCAUGCCACUGCACUCCAGGACUGUUAUCAAGUUCACUCCAAAAGGGGAGAAGAGCCAUCCGGGCUGCAACUGCCACCAGGGGAAGCCAGAUUUCAGCCAAGUGGGGCCCUCCACCUAAGGCCGAGCGUGAACUGCAUCACACGGCCACCCCCAGUUGCAACAGAGACUGGGAAGGUGGAGUAUCAGAUGGAAAUCCUAUUGUCAGGACCCAGGCUGAGCAUGCUGCCUCCCCACAUGAAACCAGACUUCUGUUGGCAAGAAAGAUACAAGAUCGCUGGCCACUAUGGUUCUUGACAUGCUGUGCUGUCAUCUUCCAAAAACUGACGAGGGCCAGGUGCGGUGGCACACACCUGUAAUCCCAACAUCCUGGAGGCCGAGGCAAGAGGAUCACUUGAGGCCAGGACUUUGAGACUAGCUUGGGCAACAUAGCGAGACCCCCCAUCUCUACAAAAAAUAAAAAUAAAAAUUUUAAUUAAAAAAAUAGCCGA
RNAcentral lists this long non-coding RNA (987 nucleotides) under Pongo abelii (Sumatran orangutan). RNAcentral's name for it is "lincRNA". The record is from RNAcentral. Lineage: Eukaryota; Metazoa; Chordata; Mammalia; Primates; Hominidae.